GACCAGCCAGGGAGCUGCGGGGAAGUGAAAGCGGUUCAGCAGAGGCUGGAGAGGAAGGAGAAGGCCACAUCCCUGCAGAGGACUCCUCCUCCAGGCCUGACCCCUCUCUGAACUCCAGGCCUACGCUUCCCUUUCCAGCGGCGCCCCCUGGAGCUGAGCCCUGCCUGCCGGGGUGUCCGGCACCCGGCCUCCAUCUAGGCAUGAAGCCCGUCCACGCCCAGGACCCCCUCAGCUCUCACCUGGACCACUUCACAGCCUCUGAACCCCUCUCCCUGUGUCCACUCUGCCCUCCAUCCACCCGACAGACUCAACUCCCGCUCACAGCUCCAAUGCUGUCGCACCACCGCUCAACAGCUUCACUGGCUCCAACUGCCCGCAGACUUUUUUUGUAACUUCCAACAAAAACGUACCCAGUCCUCCCAUCGCAGAAGCCCCCGGGGACGGGGACACUAGGAUUAAAAGAUGUGGUGGUCGCCCACGAGGGCGGACAAAGACCCCAA
This is a long non-coding RNA of Panthera uncia (snow leopard), 500 nucleotides long. RefSeq lists it as uncharacterized. Lineage: Eukaryota; Metazoa; Chordata; Mammalia; Carnivora; Felidae. The transcript has 2 exons. The record is from RefSeq and is a predicted model, not a curated record.